Thunnus maccoyii (southern bluefin tuna) is the source of this 926-nucleotide long non-coding RNA. RefSeq lists it as uncharacterized. The transcript is spliced from 4 exons. The record is from RefSeq and is a predicted model, not a curated record. NCBI's taxonomy places the organism in Eukaryota, Metazoa, Chordata, Actinopteri, Scombriformes, Scombridae.
GGAACAACAAGAUGACGUAAUAAAAAAGAGCACCAGUCAAACCUCAAAACAACGUAAAUAUGACAUUUCUGUUUGUUUCAUGUAUUAAUUGGAGGAACGUUAAAGUCUCCUCAUCGCUCCACACGGAUAUGAUGUUUUUAUUUGCCGCUACUUGUCUUCUGGUUCUCUUCAGCGGAGCAGAAACGUUAAGUGGACGUUAACAGAGUGGCAUCCUUCAAAGGCUGUAUUUGAAGACCGAGGCCGUUCCUCUUCCAAGGCUUCUUCAAAGGCGGCCUUCUUUUCCUGAAUCUGGAGGAUCCGACAGAUGGAUCCUUCACAGCCCAACGUAUCCCAGAAUGCAUUUCGUAACAAGUGGCAGCAGCAACGGUGGAGAUUUUCAGCCAGGCUAAGCUGUUUCUUCACUAUGUGAGGAGCCGCUGACCAGGUGAGACCAGCCGGUCAUCUCAGCUGAUAGCAGCCUAGCGACUCCUGAGACGAUCAGCUGGUCAACAUGUCGUCGUCCCGGUGGUCAAGGUUGCUAGGCGACGGGAGCAGCGCUUCGUGAUGCGAGGGUAAAGGUGGGAACAGCUGGUGACGCAAACUGUCUCAUUUAACAACCGCGUCCUUCGAAGGAUGACGGUGAAUCAUCGGUACGUGACAGCAGAGACUCGUCAUCAGCUCACAUCUGCAUCACUCUGAUGUUUGAAAAUGCUGCAAAGUCACAGAAAACUUUUGGUUUGUUUCUGAGAUCUAGAAGCAACGUUUUUGGAUUGACGACCGAAGAUUUCACCCUGUUUCUCUCACGAUCGUCUUGACUUUUAUCUCAGACAGUGUAAAAGAAGCCUGAAGAUGAUUCUGUCCUGCAGGCUGAUGAGAGCUGGAUGGCUGAAAACAAUUUGUCUUUUUUAUCUGUUGUAAAUAAAAUGACUUCAUGUCAUUGAGUGUGA